ACUACGGGGGGCAGCAGUGGGGAAUAUUGCGCAAUGGGCGAAAGCCUGACGCAGCGACGCCGCGUGAGGGAUGAAGGUCUUCGGAUCGUAAACCUCUGUCAGCAGGGAAGAACGGUCACUGUGCUAAUCAGCAGUGAAUUGACGGUACCUGCAAAGGAAGCACCGGCUAACUCCGUGCCAGCAGCCGCGGUAAUACGGAGGGUGCGAGCGUUAAUCGGAAUUACUGGGCGGAAAGCGCUCGUAGGCGGUAGGUCAAGUCAAGGGUGAAAUCCCCGGGCUCAACGUGGGAACUGCCUUUGAAACUGACAAACUGGAGUGUGUGAGAGGAUAGUGGAAUUCCAGGUGUAGGAGUGAAAUCCGUAGAUAUCUGGAGGAACAUCAGUGGCGAAGGCGACUAUCUGGCACAUAACUGACGCUGAGGAGCGAAAGCGUGGGUAGCAAACAGGAUUAGAUACCCUGGUAGUC
RNAcentral lists this ribosomal RNA (465 nucleotides) under uncultured bacterium. Its description in RNAcentral is "partial 16S ribosomal RNA". It matches the Rfam family "Bacterial small subunit ribosomal RNA", at positions 338 to 795 of the family's 1533-position model. The record is from RNAcentral.